CGCUUUCCGUGUUUACGUCAGCAAAUAAAAGCAAAAUAUGUGCGCGUGCGUGUUUAACAACAUCCUAUGUGCAACUCAAAGGACCUCUUAAAUUGCACAAGGAGGGCAGAGGGGGAGUCGAAGGUUGAGCGGGCAGUAGAAGUAGAGGGAGGGAGUGCGCUUUAGGUUUAGGUUUGCUUUGUUUUCGGGGUUUAGCAUUCAGAAGAGGCGUGGACUAGGAGGGGUUGAGGGCGCGGCGGGCUAAGCUAGGCCGCGGCCCGGCGGCUAGGGGGGCGCCGCCGUACCUCCCCCGGCUAGUGGACAUGGGGAGCUAGCUCGGCAUGCUGGAGCGCGGGGGCGUCGAGCUGCUGCUGCGGUGGCGGCGCCCUCCGCCGCCACUCCGAUCCCAAACGCUGGGCGGCCACUCCACCCUGCUCCUCGGGUUCCUCCCUUGGGUGUAUACGCUCGUUCCCCAUUUUCUACUAGGACUCCUUUUACUGUGCCUUCUGGUGGAAUCACAACAGUUAUAAAUACUCUCGCUACUACUUUACUAGUGGAACUUCCUUAGUCCUCUUUUGCAGGUAAGACUAACGGGUGAAGCAGUUGUUUGACCGUAGACCCAUGGAGGAAGACAAGGUGGCUACUGUUUCGUACUAGUACUCCUCACCGUUUUCCCGAAACAGAGUUUACGACCGAUGAAGCAUCUUCUGCUUAUAUUCACCCUAUAUCUACUUCUGUAAUCCCUCUACUGUUACACCCUACACAAGCGACUCUACCGACAACGUCCUUUUCUAUUUAAUAAUAGACAACGUAGUAUACUAAAACCCUCCGUAUCGUACAGAGAUCAAAGUGUGAAGGAAGAAGUUCGCCGAAACCUCCUAUUGAGAGUUUGUGAACGUCUCCGGUCACAACCAAGACUUGUACGAGACGAACUCUGUCUUGGCUGUUUCACCAACGGACUAUCACGACGAGGAAGAACGUACGAAACACCUCGUGCGAAGGUAGGUCAUUAAACGAGAGCGGUAGUAACAGCAAAAACACCACCCUAUAAGACACCGCCGACAAGUUUCCCAUCUUCGAACUACGGAGGUUUUAAGCCUUGAAGUCUAGGAGUUUCCCAGACACUACAAACACCUCAUGCAGAACUCACAUAAGUCGGAAUGAACUACUCGGUCUAUUCAGCACGAACAGUUGAAGGCUGAUUUCUAAACUGUCUGGACUCGUGGAACUCCAGUACCAAUUUGGAGGGUACCCGUGGUUGCUACCUCAUACUCUAUAUGUUCCGACGUUUAAGGUAUGUACCCAUAACAUUCCAACCUUUCGACUUAGGUCUCUUCAGGUAAGGACUAAGUUAAGAAUCUGUUCGUUUCCCCGAACGAUAUUAAUGACACCAUUUCCAACCUUACUACCAGUGCAUGUUUUAACCAUGACCCGACCAGUAACGAGCGUCUCGACUACCAAGAACCAGGGGAGGAAGUCGGUAUAGAUGAACACCACAACCUAUACCUCGAGUCCGACCGCGACUCAAUCGACUGAAGUAGUAACAAGACUCCUUGUGACUACGUUAAUUUUGUAAGUCACCUUUACGUGUAGACAGUGAACCACGACCAAAGCCACGAAGACGACCAGUAGAACCUUCCCACCGUCUCCGACUAAAGGCACGGCCACUACCUCCAAUACGACGGACAAUGUGUAUGUCAACAUCGUUUCCGCGGAAACACCCUACGCGUGAGUUACCUUCACAUCAUAGUUGAGCUUUGUUGCUUUUACGGGCUAAGAUACCGCCAGGUCAGUUCCGUAGUCUUUAGGAAGAACCAAGUGACCGGUUCGGUGGACGGCGGCGGUGAGAGAUAUUUCGAGAUAGGUGUGACAAACUAUCCUAGCCUUUUAUCAGAACCAGAAAAAUACACCACUGUGUGUAACACAGGGAGGGACAACCAGCACUGGGAACCUCGAAGUCACAGAGAUCCAUUAGACGAACAAACGAUUAAGGACCCACAGUCAGUUCGUUGACAUAUCAGACGGUAAGCAACCAUGCAGUUUGUCCAGUAGAUAGGACACGGUCUUUGAUGAGACAUUUACAACAUGUAUACUAGUGUUAACGCGCUCUUUACUUUCACUUUUCUUUUCUUUUUAUAACGAG
This 2122-nucleotide ribosomal RNA is filed under the name Triticum aestivum (bread wheat). RNAcentral describes it as "partial small subunit ribosomal RNA". Lineage: Eukaryota; Viridiplantae; Streptophyta; Magnoliopsida; Poales; Poaceae. The record is from RNAcentral.